RNAcentral lists this ribosomal RNA (230 nucleotides) under Klebsiella pneumoniae subsp. pneumoniae. RNAcentral describes it as "partial 16S ribosomal RNA". It matches the Rfam family "Bacterial small subunit ribosomal RNA", at positions 1 to 225 of the family's 1533-position model. Lineage: Bacteria; Pseudomonadati; Pseudomonadota; Gammaproteobacteria; Enterobacterales; Enterobacteriaceae. The record is from RNAcentral.
ACUUAAAUUGAAGAGUUUGAUCAUGGCUCAGAUUGAACGCUGGCGGCAGGCCUAACACAUGCAAGUCGAGCGGUAGCACAGAGAGCUUGCUCUCGGGUGACGAGCGGCGGACGGGUGAGUAAUGUCUGGGAAACUGCCUGAUGGAGGGGGAUAACUACUGGAAACGGUAGCUAAUACCGCAUAAUGUCGCAAGACCAAAGUGGGGGACCUUCGGGCCUCAUGCCAUCAGA